CGGACGGGUGAGUAAUGUCUGGGAAACUGCCUGAUGGAGGGGGAUAACUACUGGAAACGGUAGCUAAUACCGCAUAACGUCGCAAGGCCAAAGAGGGGGACCUUCGGGCCUCUUGCCAUCGGAUGUGCCCAGAUGGGGUUAGCUAGUAGGUGGGGUAAUGGCUCACCUAGGCGACGAUCCCUAGCUGGUCUGAGAGGAUGACCAGCCACACUGGAACUGAGACACGGUCCAG
Molecule: ribosomal RNA, 232 nt
Filed under: uncultured bacterium
Lineage: Bacteria
Description: partial 16S ribosomal RNA
Rfam family: Bacterial small subunit ribosomal RNA
Source: RNAcentral